UGCACCCCAGUUCAGGCGGGGCUACCCGAU
Molecule: ribosomal RNA, 30 nt
Filed under: Opuntia robusta (nopal tapon)
Lineage: Eukaryota; Viridiplantae; Streptophyta; Magnoliopsida; Caryophyllales; Cactaceae
Description: 26S ribosomal RNA
Source: RNAcentral